GACGAACGCUGGCGGCGUGCUUAACACAUGCAAGUCGAACGGAAAGGCCCUGCUUUUGUGGGGUGCUCGAGUGGCGAACGGGUGAGUAACACGUGAGUAACCUGCCCUUGACUUUGGGAUAACUUCAGGAAACUGGGGCUAAUACCGGAUAGGAGCUCCUGCUGCAUGGUGGGGGUUGGAAAGUUUCGGCGGUUGGGGUUGUACUCGCGGCUUAUCAGCUUGUUGGUGGGGUAGUGGCUUACCAAGGCUUGGACGGGUAGCCGGCUGAGAGGGUGACCGGGCACAAUGGGACUGAGAUACGGCGCAGAAGCGUACGGGAGGCAGCAGGGGGGAAUAUUGCAAAAUGGGCGGAAGCCUGAUGCAGCAACGCCGGGUGCGGGAUGAAGGCCUUCGGGUUGUAAACCGCUUUCGCAUGUGACGAAGAGUGAGUGACGGUAAUGGGUAAAGAAGCACCGGCUAACUACGUG
RNAcentral lists this ribosomal RNA (467 nucleotides) under uncultured bacterium. RNAcentral's name for it is "partial 16S ribosomal RNA". It matches the Rfam family "Bacterial small subunit ribosomal RNA", at positions 28 to 507 of the family's 1533-position model. The record is from RNAcentral.